UUCGGAUUGUAGUCUGCAACCCGACUACAUGAAGCUGGAAUCGCUAGUAAUCGCGGAUCAGAAUGCCGCGGUGAAUACGUUCCCGGGUCUUGUACACACCGCCCGUCACACCAUGGGAGUCGGAAAUGCCCGAAGUCUGUGACCCAACCUGAGAGGGAGGGAGCAGCCGAAGGCAGGUCUGAUGACUGGGGUGAAGUCGUAACAAGGUAAC
This 211-nucleotide ribosomal RNA is filed under the name uncultured bacterium. RNAcentral describes it as "partial 16S ribosomal RNA". It matches the Rfam family "Bacterial small subunit ribosomal RNA", at positions 1292 to 1500 of the family's 1533-position model. The record is from RNAcentral.